Molecule: long non-coding RNA, 177 nt
Filed under: Canis lupus familiaris (dog)
Lineage: Eukaryota; Metazoa; Chordata; Mammalia; Carnivora; Canidae
Description: lncRNA (ENSCAFG00845012422.1)
Source: RNAcentral
GUUGGGAAGCCAGCUGGAUGAGUCUGCACCUCCCCUCCAGAAAUACCUGACAAGAUAUGCUGCCAGAGAGGCUCUGAGAUCCACAAGAAGUGCAUCAGCCAGGAGGCAUCUGGAUCAAAAGCUGGUGAGGUUUGUGCUCCAGCUGUAACACCACAAGUGACCACGGGUCUUCUUUGA